CAGCCGUAAACUAUGCGCGUUAGGUGUACUGGUGACCACGAGUCACCGGGUGCCGAAGGGAAACCGUGAAACGUGCCGCCUGGGAAGUACGGUCGCAAGGCUGAAACUUAAAGGAAUUGGCGGGGGAGGCACCACAACGGGUGGAGCCUGCGGUUUAAUUGGACUCAACGCCGGGAAGCUCACCGGAUAGGACAGCAGAAUGAUUGCCGGGCUGAAGACCCUGCAUGACUAGCUGAGAGGUGGUGCAUGGCGUCAGUGAC
RNAcentral lists this ribosomal RNA (260 nucleotides) under uncultured archaeon. RNAcentral's name for it is "partial 16S ribosomal RNA". It matches the Rfam family "Archaeal small subunit ribosomal RNA", at positions 748 to 1007 of the family's 1478-position model. The record is from RNAcentral.